Molecule: ribosomal RNA, 1374 nt
Filed under: uncultured bacterium
Lineage: Bacteria
Description: partial 16S ribosomal RNA
Rfam family: Bacterial small subunit ribosomal RNA
Source: RNAcentral
AGAGUUUGAUCCUGGCUCAGGACGAACGCUGGCGGCGUGCUUAACACAUGCAAGUUGAACGGGGAUAUUGUUUUCGGAUGAUAUCUUAGUAGCGGACGGGGGAGUAACGCGUGAGCAACCUACCUUUGUGAGGGGGACAACAGCUGGAAACGGCUGCUAAUACCGCAUAAGACCACAGCCCUGAGUGGGGCAGUGGUAAAAGAUUUAUCGCACAAAGAUGGGCUCGCGUCCCAUUAGCUAGUUGGUGAGGUAACGGCCCACCAAGGCUUCGAUGGGUAGCCGACCUGAGAGGGUGAUCGGCCACACUGGAACUGAGACACGGUCCAGACUCCUACGGGAGGCAGCAGUGGGGAAUAUUGGGCAAUGGGCGCAAGCCUGACCCAGCAACGCCGCGUGAGGGAAGAAGGUCUUCGGAUUGUAAACCUCUGUCCUUGGGGACGAAAAAAAUGACGGUACCCAAGGAGGAAGCCACGGCUAACUACGUGCCAGCAGCCGCGGUAAUACGUAGGUGGCAAACGUUGUCCGGAAUUACUGGGCGUAAAGGGCGAGUAGGUGGUUUAUUAAGUCAAGAGUGAAACUCCAGGCUCAACUUGGAGACUGCUCUACGAAACUGGUAGACUUGAGUGCAAGAGAGGGAAGUGGAAUUCCUAGUGUAGCGGUGAAAUGCGUAGAUAUUAGGAGGAACACCAGUGGCGAAGGCGACUUCCUGGCUUGUAACUGACACUGAGGCGCGAAAGCGUGGGGAUCAAACAGGAUUAGAUACCCUGGUAGUCCACACCGUAAACGAUGAUAACUCGCUGUCGGGGUAUCGACCCCCUCGGUAGCCAAGCGAAAGCGAUAAGUUAUCCACCUGGGGAGUACGACCGCAAGGUUGAAACUCAAAGGAAUUGACGGGGGCCCGCACAAGCGGAGGAACAUGUGGUUUAAUUCGAUGAUACGCGAGGAACCUUACCCGGGCUCGAACGGUGCAGGAAUAUGGUAGAGAUAUCAUAGCUUCGGGGCUGCUUACAAGGUGCUGCAUGGUUGUCGUCAGCUCGUGCCGUGAGGUGUCGGCUUAAGUGCCAUAACGAGCGCAACCCUUGUCGUUAGUUGCCAUCAAGUAAUGUUGGGGACUCUAGCGAGACUGCCACCGUAAGGUGUGAGGAAGGGGGGGAUGACGUCAAAUCAGCACGGCCCUUACGUCCGGGGCGACACACGUGUUACAAUGGUAGGUACAGAGGGCAGCUACCCAGCGAUGGGAUGCGAAUCUCUAAAACCUAUCUCAGUUCGGAUCGGAGUCUGCAACUCGACUCCGUGAAGUUGGAUUCGCUAGUAAUCGCGGAUCAGCCAUGGCGCGGUGAAUACGCUCCCGGGCCUUGUACACACCGCCCGUCA